This 120-nucleotide small nuclear RNA is filed under the name Bos grunniens (domestic yak). RNAcentral describes it as "U2 spliceosomal RNA (ENSBGRG00000014509.1)". It matches the Rfam family "U2 spliceosomal RNA". Rfam says of the family: U2 is a small nuclear RNA (snRNA) component of the spliceosome (involved in pre-mRNA splicing). Complementary binding between U2 snRNA (in an area lying towards the 5' end but 3' to hairpin I) and the branchpoint sequence (BPS) of the intron results the bulging out of an unpaired adenosine, on the BPS, which initiates a nucleophilic attack at the intronic 5' splice site, thus starting the first of two transesterification reactions that mediate splicing. The record is from Rfam by way of RNAcentral. Lineage: Eukaryota; Metazoa; Chordata; Mammalia; Artiodactyla; Bovidae.
AUCGCUUCUCGGCCUUUUGGCUAAGAUCAAGUGUAGUAUCUGUUCUUAUCAGUUUAAUAUCUGAUACGUCCUCUAUCCGAGGAAAGAAAUUAAAAAAAAAAAAAACUCAGCUUAACUCAU